UGCGUAGGCGGUCGGCCAAGUCUGAUGUGAAAUCUCCGGGCUCAACCCGGAAACUGCACCGGAUACUGGUUGGCUAGAGGAUUGGAGGGGGGAGUGGAAUUCUCGGUGUAGCAGUGAAAUGCGUAGAUAUCGAGAGGAACACCAGUGGCGAAGGCGACUCCCUGGACAAUUCCUGACGCUGAGGCACGAAAGCUAGGGGAGCAAACA
RNAcentral lists this ribosomal RNA (207 nucleotides) under uncultured bacterium. RNAcentral's name for it is "partial 16S ribosomal RNA". It matches the Rfam family "Bacterial small subunit ribosomal RNA", at positions 568 to 774 of the family's 1533-position model. The record is from RNAcentral.